GAUGAACGCUGGCGGCGUGCUUAGCACAUGCAAGUCGAACGAUGAAGCCCAGCUUGCUGGGCGGAUUAGUGGCGAACGGGUGAGUAACACGUGAGUAACCUGCCCUUGACUCUGGGAUAAGCCCGGGAAACUGGGUCUAAUACCGGAUAGGAGCGCCUGUCGCAUGACGGGUGCUGGAAAGAUCUUUCGGUCAUGGAUGGACUCGUGGCCUAUCAGCUUGUUGGUGAGGUAACGGCUCACCAAGGCGACGACGGGUAGCCGGCCUGAGAGGGUGACCGGCCACACUGGGACUGAGACACGGCCCAGACCCCUACGGGAGGCAGCAGUGGGGAAUAUUGCACAAUGGGCGAAAGCCUGAUGCAGCGACGCCGCGUGAGGGAUGACGGCCUUCGGGUUGUAAACCUCUUUCAGCAGGGAAGAAGCGAAAGUGACGGUACCUGCAGAAGAAGCACCGGCUAACUACGUG
Molecule: ribosomal RNA, 466 nt
Filed under: uncultured bacterium
Lineage: Bacteria
Description: partial 16S ribosomal RNA
Rfam family: Bacterial small subunit ribosomal RNA
Source: RNAcentral